AAUUUCUACGGGGCGCAGCAGUGAGGAAUAUUGGUCAAUGGGCGGGAGCCUGAACCAGCCAAGCCGCGUGAGGGAAGAAGGUACAGCGUAUCGUAAACCUCUUUUGUCAGGGAACAAAGGCGGGGACUAGUCCCCGGAUGAGGGUACCUGAAGAAAAAGCAUCGGCUAACUCCGUGCCAGCAGCCGCGGUAAUACGUAGGGAGCGAGCGUUGUCCGGAUUUACUGGGUGUAAAGGGUGCGUAGGCGGGUAAGCAAGUCAGAAGUGAAAUCCAUGGGCUUAACCCAUGAACUGCUUUUGAAACUGU
Molecule: ribosomal RNA, 305 nt
Filed under: uncultured bacterium
Lineage: Bacteria
Description: bacterial SSU rRNA
Rfam family: Bacterial small subunit ribosomal RNA
Source: RNAcentral